GCAGCCUGAUGCAGCAACGCCGCGUGAGGGAUGACGGCCUUCGGGUUGUAAACCUCUUUUAGUAGGGAAGAAGGGCUUCGGCUUGACGGUACCUGCAGAAAAAGCACCGGCUAACUACGUGCCAGCAGCCGCGGUAAUACGUAGGGUGCGAGCGUUGUCCGGAAUUAUUGGGCGUAAAGAGCUCGUAGGCGGUUUGUCACGUCUGCUGUGAAAUCCCGAGGCUCAACCUCGGGCCUGCAGUGGGUACGGGCAGACUGGAGUGCGGUAGGGGAGAAUGGAAUUCCUGGUGUAGCGGUGGAAUGCGCAGAUAUCAGGAGGAACACCGAUGGCGAAGGCAGUUCUCUGGGCCGUAACUGACGCUGAGGAGCGAAAGCGUGGGGAGCGAACAGGAUUAGAUACCCUGGUAGUCCACGCCGUAAACGUUGGGCGCUAGAUGUGGGGACCUUUCCACGGUUUCCGUGUCGUAGCUAACGCAUUAAGCGCCCCGCCUGGGGAGUACGGCCGCAAGGCUAAAACUCAAAGGAAUUGACGGGGGCCCGCACAAGCGGCGGAGCAUGCGGAUUAAUUCGAUGCAACGCGAAGAACCUUACCAAGGCUUGACAUAACCGAGAACGCCGCAGAAAUGUGGAACUCUU
This 635-nucleotide ribosomal RNA is filed under the name Agromyces sp. So1Pt_29. RNAcentral's name for it is "bacterial SSU rRNA". It matches the Rfam family "Bacterial small subunit ribosomal RNA", at positions 378 to 1018 of the family's 1533-position model. Lineage: Bacteria; Bacillati; Actinomycetota; Actinomycetes; Micrococcales; Microbacteriaceae. The record is from RNAcentral.